CCAGACUCCUACGGGAGGCAGCAGUGGGGAAUAUUGCACAAUGGGGGGAACCCUGAUGCAGCGACGCCGCGUGAGUGAAGAAGUAUUUCGGUACGUAAAGCUCUAUCAGCAGGGAAGAAAAAAGGACGGUACCUGAGUAAGAAGCCCCGGCUAACUACGUGCCAGCAGCCGCGGUAAUACGUAGGGGGCAAGCGUUAUCCGGAAUUACUGGGUGUAAAGGGAGCGUAGACGGCAAUGCAAGUCCGGAGUGGAAUGCGGCAGCUCAACUGCCGAACUGCUCUGGAAACUGUAUGGCUUGAGUACAGGAGAGGAAAGCGGAAUUCCUAGUGUAGCGGUGAAAUGCGUAGAUAUUAGGAAGAACACCAGUGGCGAAGGCGGCUUUCUGGACUGAAACUGACGCUGAGGAGCGAAAGCGUGGGUAGCAAACAGGAUUAGAUACCCGAGUA
RNAcentral lists this ribosomal RNA (446 nucleotides) under uncultured bacterium. RNAcentral's name for it is "partial 16S ribosomal RNA". It matches the Rfam family "Bacterial small subunit ribosomal RNA", at positions 331 to 792 of the family's 1533-position model. The record is from RNAcentral.